GCCUUUCGAAAGGAAGAUUAAUACCGCAUAAGAUUGUAGUAUCGCAUGAUAUAGCAAUUAAAGGAGCAAUUCGCUAUAAGAUGGACCCGCGUCGCAUUAGCUAGUUGGUGAGGUAAUGGCUCACCAAGGCGACGAUGCGUAGCCGACCUGAGAGGGUGAACGGCCACAUUGGGACUGAGACACGGCCCAGACUCCUACGGGAGGCAGCAUG
RNAcentral lists this ribosomal RNA (211 nucleotides) under uncultured bacterium. RNAcentral describes it as "partial 16S ribosomal RNA". It matches the Rfam family "Bacterial small subunit ribosomal RNA", at positions 146 to 353 of the family's 1533-position model. The record is from RNAcentral.